This is a long non-coding RNA of Hibiscus syriacus, 424 nucleotides long. RefSeq lists it as uncharacterized. Lineage: Eukaryota; Viridiplantae; Streptophyta; Magnoliopsida; Malvales; Malvaceae. The record is from RefSeq and is a predicted model, not a curated record. The transcript has 4 exons.
CGAUGACUGCAACAGGAUUCAUGGGGCUCUCCAGAGUACUGUUUCCAGUGGUGUGCAGAUAAUUCCCACUUUGUUCUCAAAUAUAAUCAGAAAAAAGAACUUAGAAAAGGAAUUAUGUAUUGAUGUAGCUGAGGUGUCGAAUGGAGAAUACUGAGUGGAAAAAGCCGUUAUCCUGAACACUUGCCGUUACUUUCAAGUGCAGCUGCAAUAUUUCGAGAAUGUUUUGAUCCUAUUGUUGCUAAAUCUGGUCGUGAUUUGAUUCCUGUCAUGGUCUAUGGGAGAAAUAUAUCUGGACAAGAGUUUGGUGGAAUGUAUUGUGUGGUUUUGAUGGUCAGGUCUGUUGUCGUAUCAGCUGGGCUUCUUAGGAUAUUCGGCUGGGAGGUUGCUGAGCUCCCUAUAGUAGCUACAAGCAGAAAAUAUCAAG